UACGGGGGGGACAAGCGUUGUUCGGAUUUACUGGGCGUAAAGGGCGCGUAGGCGGGCCUUCAAGUCGGAUGUGAAAACUAGCAGCUUAACUGCUGGCCUGCAUACGAUACUGGAGGUCUUGAGUACAGGAGAGGAGAGUGGAAUUCCAGGUGUAGCGGUGAAAUGCGUAGAUAUCUGGAAGAACACCCGCAGCGAAGGCGACUCUCUGGCCUGAUACUGACGCUGAAGCGCGAAGGCUUGGGUAGCAAACAGGAUUAGAUACCCUUGUA
Molecule: ribosomal RNA, 269 nt
Filed under: uncultured prokaryote
Description: partial 16S ribosomal RNA
Rfam family: Bacterial small subunit ribosomal RNA
Source: RNAcentral